ACUCCUACGGGAGGCAGCAGUAGGGAAUCUUCCACAAUGGGCGCAAGCCUGAUGGAGCAACACCGCGUGAGUGAAGAAGGGUUUCGGCUCGUAAAGCUCUGUUGUUAAAGAAGAACACGUAUGAGAGUAACUGUUCAUACGUUGACGGUAUUUAACCAGAAAGUCACGGCUAACUACGUGCCAGCAGCCGCGGUAAUACGUAGGUGGCAAGCGUUAUCCGGAUCUAUUGGGCGUAAAGAGAGUGCAGGCGGUUUUCUAAGUCUGAUGUGAAAGCCUUCGGCUUAACCGGAGAAGUGCAUCGGAAACUGGAUAACUUGAGUGCAGAAGAGGGUAGUGGAACUCCACGUGUAGCGGUGGAAUGCGUAGAUAUAUGGAAGAACACCAGUGGCGAAGGCGGCUACCUGGUCUGCAACUGACGCUGAGACUCGAAAGCAUGGGUAGCGAACAGGAUUAGAUACCCUGGUAGGAUAGCG
This 473-nucleotide ribosomal RNA is filed under the name uncultured bacterium. Its description in RNAcentral is "bacterial SSU rRNA". It matches the Rfam family "Bacterial small subunit ribosomal RNA", at positions 335 to 801 of the family's 1533-position model. The record is from RNAcentral.